GACGAACGCUGGCGGCGUGCCUAAUACAUGCAAGUAGAACGCUGAAGAGAGGAGCUUGCUCUUCUUGGAUGAGUUGCGAACGGGUGAGUAACGCGUAGGUAACCUGCCUUGUAGCGGGGGAUAACUAUUGGAAACGAUAGCUAAUACCGCAUAACAAUGGAUGACACAUGUCAUUUAUUUGAAAGGGGCAAUUGCUCCACUACAAGAUGGACCUGCGUUGUAUUAGCUAGUAGGUGAGGUAACGGCUCACCUAGGCGACGAUACAUAGCCGACCUGAGAGGGUGAUCGGCCACACUGGGACUGAGACACGGCCCAGACUCCUACGGGAGGCAGCAGUAGGGAAUCUUCGGCAAUGGGGGCAACCCUGACCGAGCAACGCCGCGUGAGUGAAGAAGGUUUUCGGAUCGUAAAGCUCUGUUGUAAGUCAAGAACGAGUGUGAGAGUGGAAAGUUCACACUGUGACGGUAGCUUACCAGAAAGGGACGGCUAACUACGUGCCAGCAGCCGCGGUAAUACGUAGGUCCCGAGCGUUGUCCGGAUUUAUUGGGCGUAAAGCGAGCGCAGGCGGUUUGAUAAGUCUGAAGUUAAAGGCUGUGGCUCAACCAUAGUUCGCUUUGGAAACUGUCAAACUUGAGUGCAGAAGGGGAGAGUGGAAUUCCAUGUGUAGCGGUGAAAUGCGUAGAUAUAUGGAGGAACACCGGUGGCGAAAGCGGCUCUCUGGUCUGUAACUGACGCUGAGGCUCGAAAGCGUGGGGAGCGAACAGGAUUAGAUACCCUGGUAGUCCACGCCGUAAACGAUGAGUGCUAGGUGUUGGAUCCUUUCCGGGAUUCAGUGCCGCAGCUAACGCAUUAAGCACUCCGCCUGGGGAGUACGACCGCAAGGUUGAAACUCAAAGGAAUUGACGGGGGCCCGCACAAGCGGUGGAGCAUGUGGUUUAAUUCGAAGCAACGCGAAGAACCUUACCAGGUCUUGACAUCCCGAUGCUAUUUCUAGAGAUAGAAAGUUACUUCGGUACAUCGGUGACAGGUGGUGCAUGGUUGUCGUCAGCUCGUGUCGUGAGAUGUUGGGUUAAGUCCCGCAACGAGCGCAACCCCUAUUGUUAGUUGCCAUCAUUCAGUUGGGCACUCUAGCGAGACUGCCGGUAAUAAACCGGAGGAAGGUGGAGAUGACGUCAAAUCAUCAUGCCCCUUAUGACCUGGGCUACACACGUGCUACAAUGGUUGGUACAACGAGUUGCGAGUCGGUGACGGCAAGCUAAUCUCUUAAAGCCAAUCUCAGUUCGGAUUGUAGGCUGCAACUCGCCUACAUGAAGUCGGAAUCGCUAGUAAUCGCGGAUCAGCACGCCGCGGUGAAUACGUUCCCGGGCCU
RNAcentral lists this ribosomal RNA (1369 nucleotides) under uncultured bacterium. Its description in RNAcentral is "bacterial SSU rRNA". It matches the Rfam family "Bacterial small subunit ribosomal RNA", at positions 28 to 1381 of the family's 1533-position model. The record is from RNAcentral.